CUCGACAAGGGAUAUCUCGGCUCUCGCAUCGAUAAAAAAUGUAGUGAAAUGCGAUACUUGGUGUGAAUUGCAGAAUCCCAUGAACCAUUGAGUAUUUGAACGCAAGGUUCGGACCGAAGCUUUCUGGCUGAGGGCACGUCUUCCUGGGCAUCACG
Molecule: ribosomal RNA, 155 nt
Filed under: Begonia nantoensis
Lineage: Eukaryota; Viridiplantae; Streptophyta; Magnoliopsida; Cucurbitales; Begoniaceae
Description: 5.8S ribosomal RNA
Rfam family: 5.8S ribosomal RNA
About the family: 5.8S ribosomal RNA (5.8S rRNA) is a component of the large subunit of the eukaryotic ribosome.
Source: RNAcentral